GAGGAAUAUAUAGGAAUCUACCUAGCAGUAAGGAAUAACUUUGGGAAACCAAAGCUAAUGCCAUAUAUUACCGUUUAGUUGACUCUAAUCGGGAAAGAUUUAUCGCUGUUAGAUGAGCCUGUAUCAGAUUAGCUAGUUGGUAGGGUAAUGGCCUACCAAGGCAAUGAUCUGUAGCUGGUCUGAGAGGAUGAUCAGCCACACUGGAACUGAGACACGGUCCAGACUCC
Molecule: ribosomal RNA, 227 nt
Filed under: uncultured bacterium
Lineage: Bacteria
Description: partial 16S ribosomal RNA
Rfam family: Bacterial small subunit ribosomal RNA
Source: RNAcentral